RNAcentral lists this ribosomal RNA (397 nucleotides) under uncultured bacterium. RNAcentral's name for it is "partial 16S ribosomal RNA". It matches the Rfam family "Bacterial small subunit ribosomal RNA", at positions 523 to 918 of the family's 1533-position model. The record is from RNAcentral.
AUACGUAGGGGGCGAGCGUUGUCCGGAAUGAUUGGGCGUAAAGGGCGCGUAGGCGGCCCGGUAAGUCUGGAGUGAAAGUCCUGCUUUUAAGGUGGGAAUUGCUUUGGAUACUGUCGGGCUUGAGUGCAGGAGAGGUAAGUGGAAUUCCCAGUGUAGCGGUGAAAUGCGUAGAGAUUGGGAGGAACACCAGUGGCGAAGGCGACUUACUGGACUGUAACUGACGCUGAGGCGCGAAAGUGUGGGGAGCCAACAGGAUUAGAUACCCUGGUAGUCCACACUGUAAACGAUGAAUGCUAGGUGUAGGGGGUAUCGACCCCUUCUGUGCCGCAGUUAACACAAUAAGCAUUCCGCCUGGGGAGUACGGCCGCAAGGUUGAAACUCAAAGGAAUUGACGGGG